Molecule: ribosomal RNA, 463 nt
Filed under: uncultured bacterium
Lineage: Bacteria
Description: partial 16S ribosomal RNA
Rfam family: Bacterial small subunit ribosomal RNA
Source: RNAcentral
AACGAACGCUGGCGGCAUGCUUAACACAUGCAAGUCGAACGGUGAACCUCUUCGGAGGGGAUCAGUGGCGAACGGGUGAGUAAGACGUGGGCACCCUGCCCCCGGCUCUGGGAUAGCUACGAGUACUAGGAGCUGAUAAUGGCUGUUCAUCGCUUCCCGCAUGGCUGAUGGUGAGCCGGCUUUCCGGCUGGGGGUGGGUCCGCGGCCUAUCAGCUUGGUGGUGGGGUAGUGGCUUACCAAGGCGACGACGGGUCGCCGGCCUGAGAGGGUGACCGGCCACACUGGGACUGAGACACGGCCCAGACCCCUACGGGAGGCAGCAGUGGGGAAGAGUGCGCAAUGGGCGGAAGCCUGACGCAGCGACGCCGCGUGGGGGAUGACAGGCUGCGGGUUGGAUUCCUCUGUCAGCAGGGACGAAGCGCAAGUGACGGUACCGGCAGAAGAAGCACCGGCCAACUACGUG